AAAUUGAAGAGUUUGAUCAUGGCUCAGAUUGAACGCUGGCGGCAGGCCUAACACAUGCAAGUCGAACGGUAGCACAGAGAGCUUGCUCUCGGGUGACGAGUGGCGGACGGGUGAGUAAUGUCUGGGAAACUGCCUGAUGGAGGGGGAUAACUACUGGAAACGGUGGCUAAUACCGCAUAAUGUCGCAAGACCAAAGAGGGGGACCUUCGGGCCUCUUGCCAUCAGAUGUGCCCAGAUGGGAUUAGCUUGUUGGUGAGGUAACGGCUCACCAAGGCGACGAUCCCUAGCUGGUCUGAGAGGAUGACCAGCCACACUGGAACUGAGACACGGUCCAGACUCCUACGGGAGGCAGCAGUGGGGAAUAUUGCACAAUGGGCGCAAGCCUGAUGCAGCCAUGCCGCGUGUAUGAAGAAGGCCUUCGGGUUGUAAAGUACUUUCAGCGGGGAGGAAGGUGUUGUGGUUAAUAACCGCAGCAAUUGACGUUACCCGCAGA
RNAcentral lists this ribosomal RNA (493 nucleotides) under Salmonella enterica. RNAcentral's name for it is "bacterial SSU rRNA". It matches the Rfam family "Bacterial small subunit ribosomal RNA", at positions 1 to 485 of the family's 1533-position model. Lineage: Bacteria; Pseudomonadati; Pseudomonadota; Gammaproteobacteria; Enterobacterales; Enterobacteriaceae. RNAcentral also lists the same sequence under 1 other name. The record is from RNAcentral.